This 1499-nucleotide ribosomal RNA is filed under the name Weissella confusa. RNAcentral describes it as "bacterial SSU rRNA". It matches the Rfam family "Bacterial small subunit ribosomal RNA". The record is from RNAcentral. Lineage: Bacteria; Bacillati; Bacillota; Bacilli; Lactobacillales; Lactobacillaceae.
GAUGAACGCUGGCGGCGUGCCUAAUACAUGCAAGUCGAACGCUUUGUGGUUCAACUGAUUUGAAGAGCUUGCUCAGAUAUGACGAUGGACAUUGCAAAGAGUGGCGAACGGGUGAGUAACACGUGGGAAACCUACCUCUUAGCAGGGGAUAACAUUUGGAAACAGAUGCUAAUACCGUAUAACAAUGACAACCGCAUGGUUGUUAUUUAAAAGAUGGUUCUGCUAUCACUAAGAGAUGGUCCCGCGGUGCAUUAGCUAGUUGGUAAGGUAAUGGCUUACCAAGGCGAUGAUGCAUAGCCGAGUUGAGAGACUGAUCGGCCACAAUGGGACUGAGACACGGCCCAUACUCCUACGGGAGGCAGCAGUAGGGAAUCUUCCACAAUGGGCGAAAGCCUGAUGGAGCAACGCCGCGUGUGUGAUGAAGGGUUUCGGCUCGUAAAACACUGUUGUAAGAGAAGAAUGACAUUGAGAGUAACUGUUCAAUGUGUGACGGUAUCUUACCAGAAAGGAACGGCUAAAUACGUGCCAGCAGCCGCGGUAAUACGUAUGUUCCAAGCGUUAUCCGGAUUUAUUGGGCGUAAAGCGAGCGCAGACGGUUAUUUAAGUCUGAAGUGAAAGCCCUCAGCUCAACUGAGGAAUUGCUUUGGAAACUGGAUGACUUGAGUGCAGUAGAGGAAAGUGGAACUCCAUGUGUAGCGGUGAAAUGCGUAGAUAUAUGGAAGAACACCAGUGGCGAAGGCGGCUUUCUGGACUGUAACUGACGUUGAGGCUCGAAAGUGUGGGUAGCAAACAGGAUUAGAUACCCUGGUAGUCCACACCGUAAACGAUGAGUGCUAGGUGUUUGAGGGUUUCCGCCCUUAAGUGCCGCAGCUAACGUAUUAAGCACUCCGCCUGGGGAGUACGACCGCAAGGUUGAAACUCAAAGGAAUUGACGGGGACCCGCACAAGCGGUGGAGCAUGUGGUUUAAUUCGAAGCAACGCGAAGAACCUUACCAGGUCUUGACAUCCCUUGACAACUCCAGAGAUGGAGCGUUCCCUUCGGGGACAAGGUGACAGGUGGUGCAUGGUUGUCGUCAGCUCGUGUCGUGAGAUGUUGGGUUAAGUCCCGCAACGAGCGCAACCCUUAUUACUAGUUGCCAGCAUUCAGUUGGGCACUCUAGUGAGACUGCCGGUGACAAACCGGAGGAAGGUGGGGAUGACGUCAAAUCAUCAUGCCCCCUAUGACCUGGGCUACACACGUGCUACAAUGGCGUAUACAACGAGUUGCCAACCCGCGAGGGUGAGCUAAUCUCUUAAAGUACGUCUCAGUUCGGAUUGUAGGCUGCAACUCGCCUACAUGAAGUCGGAAUCGCUAGUAAUCGCGGAUCAGCACGCCGCGGUGAAUACGUUCCCGGGUCUUGUACACACCGCCCGUCACACCAUGAGAGUUUGUAACACCCAAAGCCGGUGGGGUAACCUUCGGGAGCCAGCCGUCUAAGGUGGGACAGAUGAUUAGGGUG